GAUGAAGAACGCAGCGAAAUGCGAUAAGUAAUGCGAAUUGCAGAAUUUCCGUGAAUCAUCGAAUCUUUGAACGCACAUUGCGCCCCUUGGUAUUCCGAGGGGCAUGCCUGUUCGAGCGUCAUUUCAACCCUCAAGCACAGCUUGGUCUUGGGCUUCGCCGCUAACCCGGCGGGUCUUAAAAUCAGUGGCGGUGCCGUCGGGCCCUGAGCGCAGUAAUCUCUCUCGCUAUAGGGUCCCGGCGGAUGCUGGCCAGUAACCCCCAAUUUUCUAUGGUUGACCUCGGAUCAGGUAGGGAUACCCGCUGAACUUAAGCAUAUCAAUAAGCGGAGGA
RNAcentral lists this unclassified non-coding RNA (331 nucleotides) under soil metagenome. Its description in RNAcentral is "partial contains 5.8S ribosomal RNA, internal transcribed spacer 2, and large subunit ribosomal RNA". The stretch from base 1 to 121 matches the Rfam family "5.8S ribosomal RNA", at positions 35 to 154 of the family's 154-position model. The record is from RNAcentral.